Molecule: long non-coding RNA, 598 nt
Organism: Eubalaena glacialis (North Atlantic right whale)
Lineage: Eukaryota; Metazoa; Chordata; Mammalia; Artiodactyla; Balaenidae
Exons: 4
Source: RefSeq, a predicted model, not a curated record
GACACCUUAACCUGACAGCAGGUACUAUUGGAAGCCGUCUUUUCGAAGAGAGAGGGAUGCCUACUGUCCCCGUUCCUCGGACAGGUCAUGGUGGCCGUAAAUACAUGCUGGCCAUCCCCACCCCCUCACAUAUAGAGCUAUGUGAUGAACCCUAACCCCCUGAAGAGGUUCCAUAGACCCCUGAGGCUCCACAGAUCAGUUUUAAAACUACUGAAUUAGAACUAAAAUGUGACCCCUCUGCAUUACUAAAUGGGUCAGGUCACCACAGAGCACUGAGUAGAGUUCCCUGAACUACGCAGAAGAGGUUUUUUUAGAAGAGCAUCUAUGGGGGCUUCCCUGGUGGCGCAGUGGUUGAGAAUCUGCCUGCUAAUGCAGGGGACACGGGUUCGAGCCCUGGUCUGGGAAGAUCCCACAUGCCGCGGAGCAACUAGGCCCGUGAGCCACAACUACUGAGCCUGCGCGUCUGGAGCCUGUGCUCCGCAACACGAAGGCCACGAUAGUGAGAGGCCCGCGCGCCACACCGCGAUGAAGAGUGGCCCCCGCUUGCCGCAACUAGAGAAAGCCCUCGCACAGAAACGAAGACCCAACAUAGCAAUCA